GAUGAACGCUAGCGGCAGGCCUAACACAUGCAAGUCGAGGGGUAACAUAGAAAAGCUUGCUUUUCUGAUGACGACCGGCGCACGGGUGCGUAACGCGUAUACAACCUACCUUUUAGCGGGGAAUAGCCCAGGGAAACUUGGAUUAAUGCCCCAUAGUAUAUAGACUUCUCCUGAAGUUUAUAUUAAACAUUUAUGGCUAUUAGAUGGGUAUGCGUCCUAUUAGUUAGUUGGUAAGGUAACGGCUUACCAAGGCAGCGAUAGGUAGGGGUCCUGAGAGGGAGAUCCCCACACUGGUACUGAGACACGGACCAGACUCCUACGGGAGGCAGCAGUGAGGAAUAUUGGACAAUGGGCGAGAGCCUGAUCCAGCCAUGCCGCGUGCAGGAAGACUGCCCUAUGGGUUGCAAACUGCUUUUACAGAGGAAGAACCACCCCCACGUGUGGGGGUUUGACGGUACUCUGCGAAUAAGGAUCGGCUAACUCCGUG
Molecule: ribosomal RNA, 487 nt
Filed under: uncultured bacterium
Lineage: Bacteria
Description: bacterial SSU rRNA
Rfam family: Bacterial small subunit ribosomal RNA
Source: RNAcentral